CCUACGGGGUGCAGCAGUGAGGAAUAUUGGUCAAUGGGCGCGAGCCUGAACCAGCCAAGUCGCGUGAGGGAGGACGGCCCUACGGGUUGUAAACCUCUUUUGCCGGGGAGCAACGGCCGUCACGUGUGGCGCCACUGAGAGUACCCGGAGAAAACGCAUCGGCUAACUCCGUGCCAGCAGCCGCGGUAAUACGGAGGAUGCGAGCGUUAUCCGGAUUUAUUGGGUUUAAAGGGUGCGUAGGCGGAUCGUUAAGUCAGUGGUCAAAUUGAGGGGCUCAACCCCUUCCCGCCAUUGAAACUGGCGUUCUUGAGUGAAAGAGAAGUAUGCGGAAUGCGUGGUGUAGCGGUGAAAUGCAUAGAGAUCACGCAGAACGCCGAUUGCGAAGGCAGCAUGCCGGCUUCCGACUGACGCUGAAGCACGAAAGCGUGGGGAUCGAACAGGAUUAGAUACCCCUGUAGUC
This 460-nucleotide ribosomal RNA is filed under the name uncultured bacterium. Its description in RNAcentral is "partial 16S ribosomal RNA". It matches the Rfam family "Bacterial small subunit ribosomal RNA", at positions 338 to 795 of the family's 1533-position model. The record is from RNAcentral.